GUAGGUGAACCUGCGGAAGGAUCAUUACUGAGACUGGGUGCUUCGGCGCCCGACCUCCAACCCUUUGUCUACCUUACCACUGUUGCCUCGGCGUGUUUGGGUCCCCGGUUGCAAAACUCGGGUUGACGCACGCUCGCCGACGGCCUAUAACCAAAACUCUUGUUUAAACACCGUUCAUCUGAGAAUAAAAACAAUAACUUCAAAACUAUUAACAACGGAUCUCUUGGUUCUG
This 232-nucleotide unclassified non-coding RNA is filed under the name rhizosphere metagenome. RNAcentral describes it as "partial ribosomal RNA internal transcribed spacer region". The record is from RNAcentral.